This is an RNA transcript of Eriocheir sinensis (Chinese mitten crab), 3586 nucleotides long. RefSeq lists it as uncharacterized. The transcript has 5 exons. NCBI's taxonomy places the organism in Eukaryota, Metazoa, Arthropoda, Malacostraca, Decapoda, Varunidae. The record is from RefSeq and is a predicted model, not a curated record.
GGGUGCAAUGUAUGGGGAAAAUUUACGAAACCUUAGCCACCUCUGGCAAAGUUAGCCUGCGGUGGCGGCCGCCGCCAGAGGCGACACUUGUGAAUUAUUAUCCCCUAUUUUCAACAAUAAAUAGUCCCUGGAUUGGAUUCUUUCUCCUUUCCGGAAGUCACUUGUCACUGCACUGCAUUCAGGGACCAAAAAGAAAUCCAUGAUAUCGAAAAAAGUCUUUCUCUCCCGAUCGUUUGCACCACGUGUUGGACCAAAACAAGCCACUUUAGACCUUAGUACAUCCCGCAGGAUGUUCGCUUUUGCUUCUUCCGCCAUCACUACAAGAUAAUUGAACCUCAGGACAACAGGUUCCCGCCUGUAACUCCAACCCGCCAUUUUUUAGGGUUAGACCGCUUUCGCACGACAUGCCCCAGAUACACAAGAGAUUUCCUUGCCAGAAAAAAGGAUCUGAUGACCUAGUGCAAAACAGAAUUUGACGUCAGUGGAAGAAAGGGUCACUUGCCUUGUUUUGGGGUCCUCUUGAGAGGCAGAAGAACAGUGCACCACCACUAUUAGUGAUAAUAGAAUAAGAAUUCUGCAGGAGUCCAAAGCUCAUGCUACGUGUCGAAUUGGAAAGGACCAUGUGGCCGACUGAGAAAACCCUGGAGCUAAUUGAGUUACUUCACUCUGCACCGGCAUUAUGGAAUACAGCUACUGCAGAUUAUAGAAAUAAACAGAAGAAGGGGAAAAUUCUGAAGGAUAUUGCUGAUAAACUUUCUAUAGACAUCGGGAAAGCAGAAAAGAAGAUCAAGUCCCUCAGAGUGCAGUUCAGGAGGGAGCAUUUGAAACUGACAUCAUCGCUAAAAAGUGAAGUUCCCCAGAAGUGUGCAUGGUUUGGUUACGAGCCCCUGCAGUUUUUGCUGCAGGUCCAAGAGCCCAGAAGGAAACGGGGUAUAGACUCGCCACAGAGAGAGGUUGCUGAAGUUGAUCUUAAACAAGGAACUAACCCUGCCAUUCAGGUUACUGAACUGGAGUUUGAAGAAGAAACUGACACUAUUAUUGAAGGUCCUCAAGAUGAUACACUUCACACAACUUCCCGUCUUUGUCAUUCUUCGUCAAAUAAAAGAACUGCUAAUAAUGUGGACGAAGCCUUUCAGCUGAUGAAGACUUUUACAGAACAUAUCACUAAACGGGACGAGUAUCAAGUGUUUGGAGAAAAUGUUGCCCAUAAAUUAAGAAACUGUGAAAAAAGUAAGCAUGAGGUGGCAUUAGCACAAUAUAAGAUUAAUGAAAUUAUUUUCAAGUUAGAAGUGGGAGAGUUUGGGGAGGUUGUGAGACAAAUACAAAAAGAGGGCACAAUAUCACAAAAUGGAAGCUCAUCCUAGCUUCGCUAAAGGCCUCACUGAUGAAGCAGUGCAUCCACUUUCAAGGAUAUUUCCUUGUUUUAAAUAAAUUUUGGUGUGAUAAAUAUCCAAGAAAGUGUGUGAUCUAAUCAUUUUUAGGAAAUCCAUUAUAAAGGUGAUGAUUUAUAAUACUUAAAAUAAUUUCCCAUAACAUAUUACACUGAUGUCAGUGUACAUCAAUGUUAGGGUCAGAGGUUCGUUGUUCACUUACCAGGAAGUUAUCAGAAGCAUUGGAAUAUUGCGGAAGUAUGAAAAAUCUUGUAUACUUUACGUUCUUGGGUCUUAAGAUUUAUGGAUUAAGUGUUAUGAAAUGUAUAAAGAACACUUAAUUAUUAUUUUGAUGAAGUUAUACCAUUCAGAAACAAGAAUAAGUAUUCAUGCUGGUUGGCCUACUUUAUUUAUAAAGAAAAAGUAAUAUAAAUGUUAGUCACAAUGUUAUUGUUCAAACGCCGCCACAUAUUCACGAAUGUUCGUAUCACUAGCUCGUCUAUAGUUAUAUAGUCCAUGGAGUGCCACAAAUUGACGCCGACCUUUGUCCACAAGAAACAAGCCAUCUAGUUUCAUCAACAGCUGUUCUACACCAUCCUCUUGUUUCAAAACAUCCGGGUCCAAUUCCAACGAGGCAACUCUCGCUCUUCCCGUAAGUGACAGAUGUAUUGCUAAUGCUUGUUUUUUCUUUGGGAGAUCAGUUAACUCACACCAAAUUCCAAUGUCUCUUUUCCAUGUUUCAUACACCGAUUCGUCAUCCAGUUUGGGGGCCCACUUGUAAGACGCCAUUAUGCCCCCGGAACUACGCUCUGCUACUAGUGUUCACUCACUGGUGCAUGUAAAGAGAUGAAAGGUUCCAGCUGCGCUGAGCCAAACAGUUCGGCUCUGCUCCACUGGCCCCAUCAACAAAUGACGUCAUCAUGGACCAGUGAAGCAACCACUGAAGCAACAACACUCCUAAUUGCCAAUGAAGCACCAACAAUUGUGACAGAUUAUGAUAUCUUUCAAUCAUUACAUAUAAUAUUUGAUAUUCAGCAUUAUCUUAUUUUUGUAUUUUACCAGCAAUCCCCUACCGGAUGCAGGACUCACUUUGAAAAUGAAAAAAUGUAAAACCAUAGAUUUUUAUUAUACAGUUUUUCCUGUCAACUCACAAUCUAUCUGCUACAUCUUACAGUCAAUGAGAAAAUAUAAUAUGUGAUUUGUAAUAAAUUUUGAAAACGACAGUAAAAAUAAAGAAAAAAAAGUGCUAGGUUUUAUGGGAGAGGGGCAGGUAGAGAAGGCUUGAAAGUGCUCCGAAUAGCCUUACUAGAGUCAAAACAUCCCCAGUGAUGGUCCAUUGCCCUUAAACCUUAUAAGCCAUGGGUGUGUGUGGCCCAUGCUGUCAAAUUUAGAGUACAAUAUGCUUCAUAAAAGUAGAAAACAUUAAAAAUCUGUGAAAAUUUUUCCACCUGCCUCAUACCUGGCUACAACUCCACAGGCCUGGGUUUAAAUCCCGGCAUGGGCAGUCAGUGUGCAGCUCAUCCUGCUGUUCAUUCUCCCUUUCGGGCUGAUCAGUAAAUGGGUGCCAGGGGAAACCUGGGGAAGGUAAAGUGUGGUAAUCCCAGAUUUCACAUUGCUCUGUAUUUCAGGUUAAUUUGUUCUUACAUACCACAGUGUCAAAGGGCCAACGGUUCAGAGAUGAGCACUGCAAUCACACACAGCUAUAGCACAUGCACCCACCUUUACCUUUACCACCUGUUCCCAGUUUUCACACAGCUUCCUGGGGCUCCCUAUAUUUUUUCUGUCUUGAAAAAAAACAAGGGUUCUGAUGAACAGUUAAUAAAAGCAUAUGAAAGAAAAAUACUGAGGGGAAAGGGACAAUGGAUAGCAGCAGCAGGGAUGUCUGAUUCAUACUCAAGGGCACCGUUACUAGAAAAUGGGUUGUUAAGAACAGUAAUAAAAGCAAAUGAGAAGAAAAUACUAACAAGGAGAGUAGCACUGGGUAGCAGCAGCAGGGACAUCCAACUCAUCACCGUUGCCAACAACGGUUGGUUUGAAUAAAUGUGUGAGAAACCAUUGCUACUUCAAUCUUUGGUUUAGAUAAGAUAAUAAGCAUGCUAAAUAUGUAAAAAAAAGUACAUUAAUGACUGAAACAUCACAAUUUGUCACAACUUCUUUAAUUAUAAGGAAUAAUAUCCAUAUGACAAUUAUAAAUAAAUAAAAUACUUAUUUUCUCA